AAUUUUAUUUCUUUUUCUUUUCAAUUUUUUUUUUUUCAAUCAAUCUUAAAGUACCUUAAGAUUAUUUAAAACAUUGUUAAAUGGAAAGCAUAGGAUAGUGUUAAAUAUAAGAAUUCUUUUUCAAUCAUUCUUAUUUUUUUUUCCUUUUUUCAUAUUCGAAUCUUCAAAGUAUAUACAUAUCAAACACAUAUAUUCAUCAAUAUAUCAAAUAUUAUUUCCAAAUCUCUCUAUAUCUUUUAAAAUUAAUAUAUUGUAAAAUUUUAUUCCAAUUGUUAUUAUGAUUUUUUAGUCUGAGAAUAGCUACGACAAGAAUUUAUAAGCUGUGAAAAGACAAAAGACAAAUAUGACAACACAAGGAAAGAAGCAGAGAUUAGAAAUCUAUUUCCACUGGACAUGGUUCUGAAAAUUCUAUCAGAUAUAAUAAGCUCUUUGGCGAGUUCUUCUUCUAUUAUUUAUCUUGGAGUAAAAAUUUCAAAAAUUGUUCUUAAAAAAAACUAUGAAAAGUGAACAAACCUCGUAUUCCCGAGUCUGCUCUCUUCGUUCUUCCAUACCCAUCCAUCGUCUUCGACAGCCAUUACGAUCAUUGUGACGCAACAAAAGAGGAACAGAAUGGCCAUCGUUUUACGGGAAACGCGAUUUCGUAAAAAAGAGAACGAUAGUCAGCUUCACCAACGAAUAUUGUCGACAGUCGACUAAAA
Apis mellifera (honey bee) is the source of this 698-nucleotide long non-coding RNA. RefSeq lists it as uncharacterized. The record is from RefSeq and is a predicted model, not a curated record. The transcript is spliced from 2 exons. Lineage: Eukaryota; Metazoa; Arthropoda; Insecta; Hymenoptera; Apidae.